RNAcentral lists this ribosomal RNA (253 nucleotides) under uncultured bacterium. RNAcentral describes it as "partial 16S ribosomal RNA". It matches the Rfam family "Bacterial small subunit ribosomal RNA", at positions 524 to 776 of the family's 1533-position model. The record is from RNAcentral.
UACGUAGGGCGCAAGCGUUGUCCGGAAUUAUUGGGCGUAAAGAGCUCGUAGGCGGUUUGUCGCGUCUGCUGUGAAAACCCGAGGCUCAACCUCGGGCCUGCAGCCGAUACGGGCAGACUAGAGUUCGGCAGGGGAGACUGGAAUUCCUGGUGUAGCGGUGAAAUGCGCAGAUAUCAGGAGGAACACCGGUGGCGAAGGCGGGUCUCUGGGCCGAUACUGACGCUGAGGAGCGAAAGCGUGGGGAGCGAACAGG